This 837-nucleotide ribosomal RNA is filed under the name Panorpodes pulcher. RNAcentral's name for it is "partial 16S rRNA". The record is from RNAcentral. Lineage: Eukaryota; Metazoa; Arthropoda; Insecta; Mecoptera; Panorpodidae.
AAUACCGCGGCCCUUUAAAAUCUUUCAGUGGGCAGAUUAGACUUUAAAUUAUAAUCAAAAAGACAUGUUUUUGUUAAACAGGCGAACAUUAAUUUGCCAAGUUCCUUAAUUUAACCUUUCAAUUUAUUUAUUCUAAACAAUUAAAUAUACUAAUUUUAUCAUUAUUUCAAUUUUUAUAUAAUUUUAAAAAUUAUUUUAAUAAAAACUUAAAUUAAUAAAAAUUAUUUUUAAUUUAAAAUAAAUUAUAACAUUUUCAUAAAUAAUGACUAUUUCUAAGCCUAUAUUUUUUAAAUUAAAAAAUUAUUAUAAAAUUUAUUUUAAAGCUUAUCCCUUAAAAUAUUAAUUAUUAAUAAUAAUUUAUUAAUUAAAUAAAUAAUUACUAUUAAUAAUCUAAAUUUAAUUUAUUUCUUAAAAAACUAGAUAUAUUUAAAAACGAAUAACAUUUCAUUUCUAAUUUAUUAUUUUACAUUUUUAUGAAACAAAAAAUUAAAUAAUAAAUUAACUCUUUUAAAUUCGAGAAAAAUUAAAUUUUUAACUUUUAAUUAAUAAACCCUGAUACACAAGGUACAAUAUAUAAAAUUUACUUUUAAUUUAAUAUUUUUUCAUUUAUUUCAAUAUUCUUUUACAAUACUAAUUAACUAUUAUAUAAAAUAUUUGAUCUAUAUUCUAUACAAAAAAACCUUAAUUUAAAAUUAAUUUUAUUAAAUAAAUUAAUAAACAAAAAAAAAAUUAAUAAAUCUUUAUUAUCAAAUUAAAUUGAAUCUCACAAUAUACUUUUCAAUGUAAAUGAAAUGCUUUACUUUUCAAGCUCUAAUUUGUCUUUCUAGAUACACCUUC